GUGAACGCUGGCGGUAGGCCUAACACAUGCAAGUCGAACGGCAGCACAGUAAGAGCUUGCUCUUACGGGUGGCGAGUGGCGAACGGGUGAGGAAUACAUCGGAAUCUACUUUUUCGUGGGGGAUAACGUAGGGAAACUUACGCUAAUACCGCAUACGACCUACGGGUGAAAGCAGGGGAUCUUCGGACCUUGCGCGAUUGAAUGAGCCGAUGUCGGAUUAGCUAGUUGGCGGGGUAAAGGCCCACCAAGGCGACGAUCCGUAGCUGGUCUGAGAGGAUGAUCAGCCACACUGGAACUGAGACACGGUCCAGACUCCUACGGGAGGCAGCAGUGGGGAAUAUUGGACAAUGGGCGCAAGCCUGAUCCAGCCAUACCGCGUGGGUGAAGAAGGCCUUCGGGUUGUAAAGCCCUUUUGUUGGGAAAGAAAAGCAGCAGGUUAAUACCCCGCUGUUCUGACGGUACCCAAAGAAUAAGCACCGGCUAACUUCGUG
Molecule: ribosomal RNA, 491 nt
Filed under: uncultured bacterium
Lineage: Bacteria
Description: partial 16S ribosomal RNA
Rfam family: Bacterial small subunit ribosomal RNA
Source: RNAcentral